Molecule: long non-coding RNA, 1047 nt
Organism: Homo sapiens (human)
Lineage: Eukaryota; Metazoa; Chordata; Mammalia; Primates; Hominidae
Gene: TMEM277P
Product: transmembrane protein 277, pseudogene
Source: Ensembl
ACCCUGUACCUUUGCUCCUAAGCAUGAAGAUGGGCUUCUGACCAAGUCCUGCUAGAGGACACUGAAAGGGCAAGCCUUGGGCUUUAACCAGGCAAUGGAAAAUUUAAAUUGGGCUCCAGAGAAGAGACAUUGAGACUGAUACUUCCAGCACUGAGGAUCUACCUCUAGAAGUCUAGCUCAGAACUUGGCCUCCGGCCUGGGCACUGCCUCAUACCUGCCAGAAUUGAUCUCAAUGGAGCUGCACAAUGAGAGGUUUUGCAUGUUGUCUAGAGGACUUUGGUUGAGUUCAGAGCUGAGCACACUUGCCUUCAGACUCUCCUGGGACUCCCAGUUCUCAUCCAUAUGAGCAAGGGCUUCAUGUUACUGGCCGUGGCCCUGUGCUGAGUCCUCCUCCCGCCCAUGGCCCUCUCCUCCUGGCCAGUGGUCCUCCGCCUGAACAUGGCCGACUUUGUCUUCAGUUUCCUCUGCCUCGGCAUUGGGCUCCUGAUUUCUCUUCAGCCUGACGCUCUUUUCAGUUAACGGCAAGGCGGUGCACCCAAGUCCGGUGGUGUCCUACCUGGUGACCUCCUACCUGUGCUGGGACGCCAGCGACUUGAUGCUGCACUCCGGGCGCAGCGAGGCGGACAUCCAAACAGCGGAACUCAGACGCUGACUCCGAGCGCACCCCGGGCCUUCCCAUUUCAUACACCCUCGAGGAUGAGACCCAAGCACCUCCAAGGAAUAGCACCCGAGGUCUUCAGGACACCGACCGGUAGCCAUGGCCAGAUGCCCGGCCAACCCCUUCAGCGUGGCCACGCCCUGGAUAUUCGACCUCCCCUGAGGCCCCACCCCCUGAUAUCAGGCCACGCCCUCCGAGGGGACCGGUGGCAAACUCCAGCCCUCGCUCUAGGGCCCGCCCUUUGCGGCUUUGUCCCUGCCCACUGGGUCCUCACAGUACCUCCACCCCAGAGGCCCAGCAUCCCCUCCCGUUCUGCAGACACUUGUCCAGCGUCCCGCUGAGCUCGGCAGUGUGGCUAGUUUGUGUGGCCCUGCCCCUGGUGCCCAGCC